UAUGGCCAUAUCAUAUUGAAACACAAGUUCUCGUACGAUCGGCGAAGUUAAGUAACGCCGAUCUUAGUCAGUACCUAGAUGGGUGACCGCUUAGGAAUACCAGGUUCUGUAAG
Non-coding RNA from Acanthosepion pharaonis, 113 nucleotides. Lineage: Eukaryota; Metazoa; Mollusca; Cephalopoda; Sepiida; Sepiidae. The record is from the annotation of a GenBank genome assembly.